This 11912-nucleotide long non-coding RNA is filed under the name Setaria viridis. RNAcentral's name for it is "long non-coding RNA (SVIR_LNC007595)". Lineage: Eukaryota; Viridiplantae; Streptophyta; Magnoliopsida; Poales; Poaceae. The record is from RNAcentral.
UUUACUCAGUGCAGAAUAGCGAUCAAGCAGUCCCAAACUGUGAGAGGCAGACGAAUCGAUUCGAAUUUAUUAACCAUGCAUGGCGAACCUAAUCUCACGACAUCCGCGCACCACAAAGGGUCGCUUCAUUUGUCAGCCGUCCCCAUCGAUCCCUUAGGCACGUGUCAGGGCCAACUGCCUUUGGCAUGCAAUGCUCCAUAAUCCCGGCCUCUGCCGUACUACGACCGCACUUGCACCCACAUGAUGCACCACGGGAACAACAUUCCAAGGACAGCCGGAGGGUAUGCCACACCCCAGUUCAAUCAGGUACUAGGCUUCCCUAUCCCAUACUAGGUAUGAGAUUAGUACUUUCAAACACUUGAUCAUGAACGCCGACACGUUUCGACCUUAGUCCAUUUUCAUUAGACAGACAGGGCAAACCACCAAGUAUCGAACAUAAGCCCGACCCCGUCCAUCAUCCUUAUAGUUGCAGCGUAAGCAAAACAUUCAACUCCUAUAACUCGCGAGCGAUAGGAAAUCACUCGACUUUUACCGAAACCUAUUAAGUAUUGCCGCUACUCGACCUUAGCAACUAGUAUUCAGAUCAAGGUACUAAGUUCAAGCAUCUAUGGUUUCAAUCAACUCCUACAAAUGUAAAUGCACAAUCAUAAGCAUCAACAACAUGCAUAAAUUUAAAAUAGGGAAUUCAUGCACCGGGGCUUGCCUUCAGGAAAGGUUAGUGGUUCCUCGGGGUCUUGAUCUAGCUCAGGCUCGACUUCCAAGUGAUGAAGUUCCGCAGCAGGUUCUUCCUCCGGUGCAGGGUGGAGCUUGUAGGUUCCAUCAGCGAGAUUAGCUUCUACACGACAUGCGCAUGCAAGAGUUCAGUUGUAACCAUGCGUGUACACAAACGAUACAAGGCAUGGCUUUUUGGUAGAAAGAAGGUUUACGAGUAGAUUGAAGGUGUGUUACAGAGGGUUUGGUGAGUUUUUUCUGAUUUUGGGAGAAGGACAACUAUUUCUCCUAUUUAUCUUCUAUUUAAACAUGCUUAACAAGGAAGGUGGGUUUCUUUCUGAUUCUGACCUCAACCCAUAUUUUUCAUGUAAACUCCCUCUCAAAACUGAGUUAUUCCAAGUGGUUUCAUAUUUUUCUCAGCUCUGGAUUAAAACUUAUGCAAAAAACUAAGAUUUAACCCUAGAUUUAAAAUAUAAGGUUAAAACAAGAACUUUAAGUUCUACUCCAGGGCCUUAAAUAUUUUUCCGAGCUUCUACUCAUUGAAACAUUCACCACAGAGUUUGAUUUACCUAUUUAGAAUUUUUCUUCUAUUUACUAUGAUUUAAAAAGGCCUAAGCAAGAAAUAAAACCAUAGGAUAUUAUUUACAAUAGUAACACGAGCAAACUUAUUUUUGUUAGAAAAUAGGUAGAACAAGAGUUCCAAAAAAAGUGAUUUGGCAUUUUUCUAAUUUUUCUUCGAUUUAAGAUCUAAUUUCCAAGUUUCUGCUGAUUUCACUCGAGUUAAAAGAGUCGGAUCGGGGAAAACUUACGAUCUGACCCUUAGACUUAAGGAAUAAUUGUACCGGGAUCCUCAGAUUUAACAUAGAGAAGUCCUUGGAAUUUAACACAGAUACCCUCGGUCAAAAGAAAAGACAUAACCGUGCCCUCGGGCGAGGCGGACAGCACUCGGGCGAGGCGCACAAGGUCCGGUCGCUUUCGCGGACGAUUCUGGGUCAGGAACAGCUGGAAAGGGGUCGGCAGCUCACCUCCAAUCCUACUGACGAGGUCUCGGGGUUGGGAAGAAACAAGCUGAGGUGGAACAAGGAACAACGGUGGCUUGGGUUGGCGUCAUGGAAACUGGCGGCGGCGAUCCGGCGAGACAGGGGCCUGAGAGGCUCCUUGAGCAGGUCAGGGAGCUCUUUGAAUGGGUUGGCAAGCUCUAGGCGACCAAGGCGAAGCUGACAGUGAAGGAGUCGCUGCACGGGGCUGGCCGGAGUGGCAGCUCCACGGGAGCCUGGGGGCGACGCAGAGGAAAAGCAGGGGCGCGGCAAGCGGGAGGUGGCAAAGGGGUGGCACUAACGGUGAGCUCGGCCCUUUUAUAGGGGAGAGGUGGAGCAAAGGGUCCAGGCGGGGCUCCGGGUGUGGGAGGAUAAGGUCGGGGGAAAGCGGGUGCGCGGGCGAGGCGGCCAUUGGCCGGAGGCACCAUUGGCCGGAGAAGCGGAGCUCCGGGGACAGGAUCCUUCGGGCAUUGGGCAAAGAAGAUAGCGUCGGGCAAGCGCGGUUUUGCCGAGCAGAAGGAUUGGUGAGGUCGAGCGUGUGUCUGGUCGCGUCAAACACCGGAUUGGGGGUGGCGUGGCGGCUUUUCCGGUGAGCGGGCAAAACUCUGGUUGGGCGGAGUGGAUGCGCGGCAGGGGCGAAGGAUGUGCUCGGUCGGUGAUUGGCCAGCACGGCGCUCGCCCCAUCUUGUCGUGGGCGCGUGUUGGGUGUCGAGGCUCCCGCCCUGUCGCUCCCCCACCGCGGAUAGGGCGCCGGCGAGCUACCGGUGGACGGCGGCCACGCGGUGGGUGGCGCGCAGGUGAACGUGCCCGGGUGCGCUGGCGUCGAGGCAAUGUCGGGCAACAACAAGACCGGCUUUGGGGGCCCUCCACUCGAGAUUUUUAAACUAAACGUUCGAAUACCCCUUAAGCAAACUGGUAGAACUAUGGUCAUAGUUCAAACUUUAUUAAAAGUGUUUGCUCAGAUUUUGAAAGGAUUUGAAGAUAACUCGAGCCAAAAUUUUCCAAAAACUAGAGUUUUCGGACUUAGGCAUUUCAGCCGAUUUGGUGAAAUUCCAGGAGUUUGGCUGUUUUUGACUCGAAAAUUUUGGGCAGCUUCUGAGUUGAAUUAGACCAAGCUAUUAUUGAAGCAGUUGCUCUUCAGUCUUAGGACUUCAACUUCUAUUAAGGCUCUUCUUGAGUUGAGUUCAAAAAUUUGGAGGAACACACUCGCCAAGAGGCGCGCUUUGGAUGGUUUCCAGACUUAGAGCUGGAAUGCCUAGAGGCCUGAGUUGACUGUUUUACCCGACUUUGACCAGGUUUCGAUUUGGACCUAGGUCAGUGUAACAAAGUUGGAACGCACUCAAGGGACUACAACUUUUAUUAAAGGCCUGACUUGAGGUUAGAUGUGAAAUUGUGAGAUAACAGGUUGCAAAGUUGAAGAAAAACUUGAAUUCCAGGACUUAGGUUGUUUGUGGGGUUUUAUAAUAGUCUUAUUUUGAUUCUUAUUUUUGACCUUCUCCCACUCCGAAUUAGCCAAAGUGUCUUUAACAAAAGUUGUUUGAAAUUAAAAGUUUUACAACUCUUAUUUGGGCCAAAUUUUAAGUUUGUAUAUAAAAACUCAAGUUUUAUAUUUAACUCCAAAAAGAGCUUUUUAGGGUCAAAAGGACUUUUCACCUCUUUUACUUAGUGACUAACAACUUGUUUAGGUUUAAUUACACUCAAUUAAGGCAGAGUUGUUACAGCCUACCCCCCUUAAAGAAAUCUCGCCCCGAGAUUCAAGUGCAGAAAGGAACUAGUGUGGCUGGUGCAACGUACCUCCCUGGCCGAAAAGAAAACCGCGGAAGUUAGUGUUGAGAUACUCUUCUGUUUCCCACGUUGCUUCAUCUUCCGUAUGGUUACUCCACUGAAUUUUGUACAUUUUCACCAUUUGCCUACGAGUAUGUCUUUCUUUCCGGUCGAGGACCUUAACAGGAUAUUCCUUGUACGAUAAAUCGGGUUCGAUCUCCAAUUCUUCCGGGGCAAAGAUUUCAGUUGGAACUUGAAUACACUUCUUGAGUUGCGAGACAUGGAAAACAUCGUGUAUCAUAACAAUCUUCUCCGGGAGUUUAACUCGAUACGCUACAGGUCCACAAAUUUCCACAAUCUCAUAUGGACCAAUAUAGCGUGGAGCCAACUUUCCUUUCACUCCAAAACGUUGUACGCCCUUGGUCGGUGAUACUCGAAGGUAUACAAAAUCCCCAACCUCAAAUUUGAUAGGUCUUCUCCUCUGAUCAGAAUAGCUUUUUUGUCGGGACUGGGCGGCCUUAAGAUUUUCUCGGAUAACUCUCACUUUUUCUUCGGCCUCCAUGACCAAGUCAGGUCCAUACACCGUUUGCUCUCCUGGUUGAGACCAACUUAGCGGGGUUCGACAUCUACGUCCAUACAAGGCCUCAAAAGGUGCCAUUUUCAAGCUGGCUUGGUAGCUAUUGUUGUAUGAGAAUUCUGCUAGUGGCAAACACAUAUCCCAAUUCUUGUCAUAAUGAAUGGCACAAGCGAGCAGCAUAUCUUCCAAUAUCUGGUUGACUCUUUCAGUUUGUCCAUCGGUUUGAGGGUGAUAUGUGGAGCUACGAAUCAGCUUAGUGCCAAGUGAAGACUGCAAUUGCUCCCAGAAGCGUGCUACAAACUGACUACCUUGAUUAGAGAUGAUCAUUUUAGGCACACCAUGCAAGGAAACCAUUCGGUCAAGAUACAGCUCCGCAUAUUUUUGUAUGGUGUGGGUGGUGUGUAUCGGAAGGAAAUGCGCUGUUUUGGUAAGUCGGUCCACUAUAACCCAUAUGGAAUCAUGCUUGCGAGAGGUAUUGGGCAAUCCGACUAUAAAGUCCAUGCUUAUGUCCUCCCACUUCCACGAGGGAAUAGGCAGCGGCUGCAAGGUUCCAGCUACCUUUAAGUGGCUUGCUUUAACUCGCUAACAUGUAUCACAUUCUGAAAUGUAUCAUGCAAUAUCUGGUUUCAUUCCACUCCACCAAAAAUUUUAUCGGAGAUCAUGGUACAUCUUGGUACUGCCAGGGUGAAUCGAAAACUUGGAAAGGUGUGCUUCAUCCAUAAUCCGUUUCUUAAGAUCAGGAGCAUUUGGAACAACCAGUCGAUCUUCAUAGUGUACAACUCCCUUCGAAUCUUGCCGGAAGUGCUUGUGUCCCUCAUCUAUUUGUGCGAGCUUCUUUUUGAUAAGUUUUAUAUCUUUAUCCUCCAAUUGUGCUAAAACAAUCUGGUCAUCCAAGGUAGGCUCAAGGGAAAUAUGACUUAAGGUGCCAUGGGGAACAAUUUCCAAUUUAAGCUUAGCCAUCUCAUGACACAAGGUCUCGGCAUAGUUGGUCGCAGACAAGCAGUUACAAUGGAUUUUGCGGCUGAGAGCAUCUGCAACUACAUUGGCUUUGCCUGGGUGAUAGUGCACUUCUAAGUCAUAGUCCUUGAUCAACUCUAACCAUCUUCUCUAACACAUGUUGUGGUCUGCUUGAGUGAAGAUAUACUUCAGACUCUUGUGAUCUGUAUAGAUAUUGCAACGAGUCCCCAUAAGAUAAUAUCUCCACAUUUUCAGAGCAUGAACGACUAUUGCUAACUCAAGAUCAUGGGUAGGAUAAUUCAGCUCAUGUGGCCGUAGCGCUCGCGAGGCAUAGGCAAUGACUCGGCUGUCCUGCAUAAGAACACAUCCAAGUCCAGUGCCAGAGGCAUCGCAAUAAACGUCGAACGGCUUAGUGGUGUCUGGCUGAGCUAAAACCGGGGCAGAGGUCAGUAAUUGUCUCAAUGUGUGGAAAGCUUCUUCACAUUUGUCGCUCCACACAAACUUAAUUCCUUUCUUCAACAGUUCCGUCAUUGGCUUAGCUAUCUUUGAGAAGUUAGGAAUGAAUCGACGGUAGUAGCCUGCUAAAUCGAGAAAACUUCGAAUUUGAUGAACUGAAGUGGGCGGCUUCCAGUCCAUUACUUCUUGAACUUUGCUUGGGUCUACUGCUAUGCCAUCGCUGGAUAUGGUGUGCCCCAAGAAUUUGACACUUCCUAGCCAGAAGUCACACUUGGAGAAUUUGGCAUAGAGUUGAUGAUCUCUUAAGCGUUGGAGCACAGUAUGAAGGUGCUCUGCAUGUUCUUCCUCAUUCUUCGAGUACACCAAGAUAUCGUCGAUGAAUACCACGAUGAAUUUAUCAAGUUCGGGCAUGAACACUGAAUUCAUGAGAUACAUGAAAUAAGUCGGCGCAUUAGUAAGCCCAAAUGACAUGACUAAGUACUCAUAGAGUCCAUACCGUGUAGAGAAGGCAGUCUUAGGAAUACCGCACGGUCGGAUCUUGAUUUGAUGGUAGCCGGAACAAAGAUCAAUCUUGGAAAACACUCUAGCUCCAGCUAACUGCUCGAACAGAACAUCAAUGCGGGGUAAUGGGUACUUGUUCUAUAUCGUCACCGCAUUGAGAGGUCGGUAGUCCACACACAUACGCAGACUCUCGUCCUUCUUUUUCACAAACAAGGCGCGGCAGCCCCAAGGUGAUGUACUUGGACGAAUAAAACCUUUUUCCAACAACUCAUGCAACUGAGUUUUCAUUUCUGCCAGUUCUGCGGGUGGCAUCCGGUAGGGUCUCUUUGAAAUUGGGGCAGUGCCUGGUUGCAACUCAAUAGCAAACUCGAUAUCUCUAUCAGGCGGCAUACCCGGCAAAUCAUUUGGAAACACAUCGGGAUACUCACACACCACUGGAAUGUCCUCCAAACGGGCUUCAGUCACGGAAUAGGCACAAGAAGUUUUGCACUCGCGGUGGGGUAAGUGUAUGAUUGAGCUACCAUAUUUGGGUGAAUUUAUAUGGACUGCUCUGGCAGGGAUGUCUAGUGCCACUCGGUGCUGAGUCAUCCAAUCCAUGCCCAAGAUGAUAUCUAUCCCCUCUAACCCAAGGAUAAGUAGGUCUUUCGUAAGAAGGGUCCUUCCUAACUUGAUAGGUACACGGCGGGUCAAUUGGUGUGAGGUUACUUUCCCACCCGGGGUAGAGAUUAUAUAUGCCCCUUUCGUGUGACAGAAACCUAACCCACACUUAGCACUGGUUCUAGUCCUGAUGAAACUAUGGGAUGCUCCCGAAUCAAACAGAAUAAGGACGGGUUGAUUAUGGAUAGAGAAGGUACCCGUCAUCACUGGUGCGCCUUCUGGAAGUUCGGCAAGGGUGGUGAAGUUCAGCCUGCCUUGUCGGAUCUGAACUCUAGGCUUCUUCCCCUUGUUUCCCAGUGCAUUGCUCUAGCCAGGCCGUUGAUUCUUGUUGCGGGGGCAGUCCUUGGCAAAGUGUCCCGGGUUCCCGCAGGUGAAGUAGCGGUUUCUAGUAGCAGUGCGCGGCGGCAUUGGAAGAGUAAGCCGGGGCCCUUGUGGCUGGAAUCCUGGGAAACGAGGUGCUGCCUGUGGUGGGGGUCGAGCAACCCAUCUCCCAGGCUGUGCGGGCCUGCGAGACACCUGUAGGGGCACCAUCCUGUAUCUCUAUGCAGGUGGGCUGGGUGUCAGCAUUGGAGCCUUCCGCUUCAUGUCAGCCUUGAGGACCUUCAUGCAAUUCUCCUGGGAAAUUGCCACGUUCACCAAUUCAUUGUAAGAAUCCACCUUGAUGGGAUUCAGCCUUUCCUUGAGCUCCAAACUCAAAUCUCUAUGAAAGCGGUCCCUCUUCUUCUCAUCGGAGUCCGCAUGAUAGCCUGCGUAGCGACACAGGUCAUUGAAAGCCUGCGCAUAUUGUAGGACGUUGCGGCCUCCCUGGGUGAGAGCCAGGAACUCGUUGAGCUUGCUCUCCAGGAGACCCUCAGGGAUAUGAUGGCCCCUGAAUGCCGUCUUGAACUCCUCCCGGCUGACGACGUGGUCGGCUGGCUGCAUAGGAGGGUAGAACCACGCAGCUGUUGCGCGGCGAACCGAGUCUUGUUCUCGUUCGGGCAAUGGGCGGUGAGGAGGGAGAACUUGGACUCGAUGGCAUGAAUCCAGGCGUCGGCGUCAAGCGGAUCCUCCGUCUUGUGGAACAGAGGAGGCUGUGUUCCCAGAAUGUCCUCAUAGCGAGCAACAUGAGGUUGCUGAUGAGCUCUUCCUCCCUGGGGCUGCUGCUGCUGCCCCUGGGCGAUGUGCCUCAGCAGCUCAGUUUGAGCAGCCAAGAUCGCCUCUAGGGUGGGUGGAGGCGGAGGCGGUGGAGGCACCUGCCUCUGCUCGCUGCCACUAGGAACAGAGCCGGAAUGGGUGUGGUGCGCCAUCAGCAAGAUUCAUCUUUCCAUUAGUCACAUAAUCCCCAAGCUUGCCCAAUCAUGAAGAAAUUAUGUGCUGAAUCUUUAAAUGCUAAUCUUGCCGAUAGUGCGAACACAACAAUCCUAUCUUUUAUUGAGUAGGUGCAUAUCUCUUCUUCAAAGUAUACAAGGCUCUCAUACUUAUUCAAGAGUUAGGACUCGUCGUACAUAACCACUUCCCUUUUAUGCUUGUUGACCGAAAAGGAAGGAAAAGGGGAUCCUUUAGCCAAGUUAGCACGCUGCUGUUUGGACUGACUUUUAGCAAGCUGAGCUGUGAUGUUUUGGUUCUAAUGUGAGUUUGACAGAUCCAAACGAGCUAAAAUUUUACAAGCAGUUAGAACACAAGUUUCUGCACAACUUUGGUAUUCAAACCUUGGAUCAAAAACGAGUGGAGAUAGGGGUAAAACUGAGGAGAAACAGUCACUGAAUUGCUGCCAUAAUUUUUCAGACAUUACAACUAACCGGUAGCAACGGUAAAUCCAUACAUGGAAUCAGUUUUUCAACACCCGAAUACUCAACUCAAGCUAACCUAUUACCACACUAGCUAAAAAUAUAGGUCGCCAAGGAGUACAACAAAAGAAACUACUCACAACAAGCCGAUAUAUCUAAAAGUCGUCAAGGUUGCCUACGGAGGCAAAGUUGAGUGCAGGAGAGUGAGCGUCGCCAACUCGAGGCUGCGGAGCAGCCUCCUCAAAGUCCAUACUCGAAAAGCCCUCGAUCUCCGCGGGCUCCUCCUCCUGAGCCAAAGGCUCAUCCUGCUGCAUCUCUAAGGCGUGGAUAGCAUUAAGCUCAGCGUGUUGCUCCUGUAGGUGCUCAUUGGCGUUCGCCAGCUCCAUGUUCACAUCAUAGAACUGGUCGGCCAGCAUCUCCAUAUCAUGCUCCAUAUCUCCUAUCUCUUCCUCUAAACUAGAAAUCUAGUUCUGCAUAUCAGAAAUCUGGAAAUCCUUCUGUACCAACUUAAGUGACAAAUCCACCAUGCCAUUCUGCACGGUAGUGAGGGCAACCUGAUAGGCCAUUGCCAUCCUAAUCACAGUGGUCAUAGCCUUGCUCUGCAUCUCAAUCAUCCGGUAGAACACAUUCAUGCAGCGAGCUGAAACAAAAAUCAUGCGUUGUGGGUCCAAAACACCUAGCAAGUCCAUGUGCUCCGUGCGGUCCAACCAAUCCAGAUCUCUCCUAUCCUUGGCAGGAAACAACCCAAUUGGUUCUAACACAAUCUCCAGGGGGUGUGCCCUGCAAAACUGUGUCAGUGCCUGCAAAGCUACAAACUCCCAUGUGUCCUGCAACAUGUGUCCCUCAGCCACAACCUCCAAAAGUGGCCACUGGGGCUGGUCUGGGGGUGGGGGCACCUUCACGUGCACGCAGCUCCGAGGAAUCCCGUGGUCCUGGUACGCGCGUCCCACGUAAACAGGCGGUGACGGGUACCCAAAUGAGCGCAGGGUGUCCCACAAUAUGGCUGAAAAAUCCUCGUAGUGGAGGCACCUCGAGUGGGUGGUGCCAUCCACACCAACCGCAACGUACACGGGGUGAGCCAUCUGUAACAAAAGGACAAGUGAGGAACGGGAUCAAUACUCGGAAAUCAAAACAGAUUUCUGGCAGUUAGAGAAAAACUCAUAACUCAGCAAGUAUUUAUCCCAAAUUCCUCAAAUUUUACCAGCAUGUUUCUUAGGUAGUGUGUAACAAGUUUGGUAUUCAAAUGUAGAGCUAAAACAGAACCUAGCAGGGUGAUAAUCUCAGAUUUCUAUCAAGUGGUACAUGCUGGAAUUUUUCAAACCGAGCUGAAGUAAACUGAGCAUAACUUCAAAACCAGAGACCUAAUGAAGCUAAAAUUUCACCACCAAGUUCUUGAAUAAGUUCUGAGAAACUUCUAUUAAAGGACUCCUGGCAGAAAAAGUUGUUAAGGUGGUCGAAACAGUAAAAUUCCAACUGGUGUACACACAGUGUUAACAGCCACACAGGGGGGGGUCACAAAUCUGAUCAUAGCUUUCAACCUAGGUGGUAGCAUUUUAUGAAAAAUUUUCAGCAAGUUAUUUAGGAUAUUUAACACAACUUCCUUAUAUAAAGUUUCUGGAGUUAUUUCUUGGAACAACCUGAAAGAUUUUUAUCCAAACUUGCAUGGCGGAAAAAGGACAGGUAGAAAAUCCUUAUCGCGGGCACUUCUUUUACGACAUACACGAGCCCAAAACAUUUCGUUAGGUUGCGAUUUUUUUUUAUUUCACAAUUCAUGCACAUUCUAGUCAUCCUCACAACCAAAACAAUCGCGAAAAAGCUUUGGACUUACGUAGUUAGUGCCGGUGGCAAGGCAACAAUACGACUCUCACUAUAAUAACUAGUCGAGUUGCUAAACAUCAUUUCAUACGUAAACGUGGUUAGUGUACCUGCAGAAAAACAUAUCACAUCUUGAACCUUCCGUGCCAGCACUCACGAAAGCAUCCAAAAUCAUUACCGUUCACUAUAGAAACGGCACCCAUGCGUUUAACGCUGCAUGGAUAGCGGAACAACCGUGGAAAUAGAUUCCUUUGAAUAGAACCAUAUAACCCUUCGAAUUCUCGUGAUGCAGAAUCUUGCACACGUAUAAUAGACGUGAGCGAACAACCGUGGCGAUAGACUCGUUGGAAUCGAACCAUACCAUCCUUCGCAUGAGUUAACAUACGAAACAUGCGCACGUAUAAUAGACGUGGGCGAAAAAUAACCGUGAUGAUAGGCUCGUUGGAAUCGAAUUCCUAUCACCCGUCGCAUACUCGCGAUGCGGAACUUUGCACAUGUAUGAUAAACGUGGCGACAGGUGUUGGAAGUCAAUAAAUAAAAUAGUUACUAGCCACCUUAAACGACCCAAAAUUCCCCUAGGGCUUCUCGUACUAAACUCAUCCUUAACGAACUUACGAAUUUUUCAACUAAUUUCUUGCAAAUUUUAUUCAGAUAAAGGGUUUUAAGGUCUGUUGUUCUCCAUACCGUGCUUCAAGCUCUGAUACCAGCUAUGGCGGAACCGCCCAAAUUAACCUGGCUAAAAUACACUUAAGUUGCCUGACACGCGAACAUGCACUUUAAGCAACUCAACUUGGUCAUCCGUCAGAUUUCAUCCGAUAAACCACUUACACAGGAUCGAGAAGCAUUGCUCACAUGAAGGUGAGUAGCACAGAGAUUGCAACAUUCCCAUCACAUUAACAUAGUUCAACAAUUUAUUACAUCAGAGUUUUUCAAAAUUCAAACAAGUUUGCGAGGUUCAACCAGAUGAAAUAAAACAAGCGAAAGCUAAACGUCAAUACACGAUAUCAUGACAAAGCCGAUCAUGACUUCAAUGAUCCCUGCCCUCGCCGUCCAAGGAGGGAUCUCACUCAACUGUCCAGCCCGGAGGGAGCUGGGUAGGCCAAGUGGUGCCAGCAACCACACUAUCGACAUUACCUGAAAAGUUAAGCCACAACAAGGUUGAGCAACUAAUACUCAGCAAGACUGACCCGACAGGUGAUAGCUACUGUCACCAAAUCCUAGACAUGCAAGGCUUUUUGGCUUUGGGUUUGUUUUGCCAAAAGCAUCUAUAGUCGGUCCUUACUUUCAAUAUUUUAGCUCAAGUUCUACGUUCGUUAACCAGUCUAGAUUAGCAACUUAUACUAAGCAAGCAUAGUUUUCCAAGCAAUUAAAGAACAAGCAUCAAGAUUAAUAUCAUCAUCAUGUUCCAUCUUUACUCAUUGCAGAAUAGUGAUCAAGCAGUCCCAAACUGUGAGAGGCAGACGAAUCGAUUCGAAUUUAUUAACCAUGCAUGGCGAACCUAAUCUCACGACAUCCGCGCACCACGAAGGGUCGCUUCAUUUGUCAGCCGUCCCCAUCGAUCCCUUAGGCACGUGUCAGGGCCAACUGCCUUUGGCAUGCAAUGCUCCAUAAUCCCGGCCUCUGCCGUACUACGACCGCACUUGCACCCACAUGAUGCACCAUGGGAACGAC